This 497-nucleotide ribosomal RNA is filed under the name uncultured bacterium. RNAcentral describes it as "partial 16S ribosomal RNA". It matches the Rfam family "Bacterial small subunit ribosomal RNA", at positions 28 to 507 of the family's 1533-position model. The record is from RNAcentral.
GAUGAACGCUGGCGGCGUGCCUAAUACAUGCAAGUCGAGCGAACAGAUAAGGAGCUUGCUCCUUUGACGUUAGCGGCGGACGGGUGAGUAACACGUGGGUAACCUACCUAUAAGACUGGGAUAACUUCGGGAAACCGGAGCUAAUACCGGAUAACAUUUGGAACCGCAUGGUUCUAAAGUGAAAGAUGGUUUUGCUAUCACUUAUAGAUGGACCCGCGCCGUAUUAGCUAGUUGGUAAGGUAACGGCUUACCAAGGCGACGAUACGUAGCCGACCUGAGAGGGUGAUCGGCCACACUGGAACUGAGACACGGUCCAGACUCCUACGGGAGGCAGCAGUAGGGAAUCUUCCGCAAUUGGCGAAAGCCUGACGGAGCAACGCCGCGUGAGUGAUGAAGGGUUUCGGCUCGUAAAACUCUGUUAUUAGGGAAGAACAAAUGUGUAAGUAACUGUGCACGUCUUGACGGUACCUAAUCAGAAAGCCACGGCUAACUACGUG